RNAcentral lists this ribosomal RNA (375 nucleotides) under uncultured Sulfuricurvum sp. RNAcentral's name for it is "bacterial SSU rRNA". It matches the Rfam family "Bacterial small subunit ribosomal RNA", at positions 1007 to 1382 of the family's 1533-position model. The record is from RNAcentral. Lineage: Bacteria; Pseudomonadati; Campylobacterota; Epsilonproteobacteria; Campylobacterales; Sulfurimonadaceae.
GGGGUGCUAGCUUGCUAGAACCUACACACAGGUGCCGCACGGCUGUCGUCAGCUCGUGUCGUGAGAUGUUGGGUUAAGUCCCGCAACGAGCGCAACCCUCGUCGUUAGUUGCUAACAGUUCGGCUGAGCACUCUAACGAGACUGCCUUCGCAAGAAGGAGGAAGGUGAGGACGACGUCAAGUCAUCAUGGCCCUUACGGCCAGGGCUACACACGUGCUACAAUGGGGCGUACAAAGAGCUGCAAUACCGCGAGGUGGAGCCAAUCUCUUAAAGCGUCUCUCAGUUCGGAUUGUUCUCUGCAACUCGAGAACAUGAAGCUGGAAUCACUAGUAAUCGUAGAUCAGCUAUGCUACGGUGAAUACGUUCCCGGGUCUU